GUUUUGCCCGCCUGAGAAAACCAGUUGCCCUCGUGCUAAAAAUGUUAAUGAAACUCCUGCUUAAGAGAUUAAGGGUGUCAUUAAGGUUAAAACAUUUCCUGUUUCUUACUAGAUACAAAACAGAGAAGCAACAAUGAAAGUAUGUGCUGAGACUUGAGAGGAGAAAGAAUCAUGUUGAAACACUGGAUUCUAUAAUAAAUACAAACCAGAAAGCUGUGUGCUGAGAAUCAUGUGGAGAAAGACUCAUAUUAAGGCAGUAGAUUCCAUAUCAGUUUCUUACUAGAUACAAAACAAAGAAGCAAGGAAAAGAGCUAUGUGCUGAGACUCGAGAGAAUCAAAUUGAGACAUUGGAUCCCAUAGUAGAUACAAAACAGAGAAGCAACAAUGAAAGUAUGUGCUGAGACUUGAGAGGAGAAAGAAUCAUGUUGAAACACUGGAUUCUAUAAUAAAUACAAACCAGAAAGCUGUGUGCUGAGAAUCAUGUGGAGAAAGACUCAUAUUAAGGCAGUAGAUUCCAUAUCAGUUUCUUACUAGAUACAAAACAAAGAAGCAAGGAAAAGAGCUAUGUGCUGAGACUCAAGAGAAUCAAAUUGAGACAUUGGAUCCCAUAGUAGAUACAAAACAGAGAAGAAACAAAAGAAGCUGUGCUGAGACUCAAGAGGAAAAACAAUCAAAUUGAGGAAUUGGAUUCCUUAUUAGGCUGCCAACUCAAGUGUACAUGUAGCGACAUUAACAUGGAGAAGGAAGCAAAGGAAAGCAAAGAACUUCGUUUAGAUGUUUUUUUUCAGCGGAUUACGUUUUAAGAGUAAGGUAGAUUUACACGACAAGGUUCAUCUCGAUGGAGUUUCUCGCGAGAGAUUGUUAGGGCGGAGCUCGUAUUAGGUGGUUUUAUAACACAAAACUCAACAGAAGACAGUGAAAUUACUGUCAAAUUGUCCAGUAUCUCUACCAAGCUGUCUUGUACAUGUAUCUUGCUAGUUUUCAAGGAAGCCCUGAAUUCUAUUUCAAGUUUGCAGCCUUAAAAUUUAAGGUAGAAUCGAAGCAUUACCUGGAUUACUUUUUGCAACUCGAAUUUUCAGCCUGGAAGUCUCGCUAUUAAACUCGUUGAAAUUGCAGUCUAUUUGUCUAGUAUCUAUUUCACAAAUUUGUGAAAUCUUUUUAGUUUUCAAGGAGGUAUUGAAUUGAUUGCGCUUUUAAAAGGGCCAAGAAAAAAAAUCGAAAAGAAACUAAGUCUUUUAGUGGAAAAGUGUCCUUAGAAAAAAAAGUCUGCAAUUUUAAAUGGUGUCUGGUUUGGAGUUAAACAUAUACUGAGACUUUUGGCGGAAAAAAUCUUGCACUAUGUAGGAUUUUUCCUAUCAAAAGUCAAACUAUAUGCUUGAUUUCUGGCUAGACUUCGUUCAAAAGCGCAGAAUUUUUUUUCUUUUUGGCAACCCUACA
Orbicella faveolata is the source of this 1437-nucleotide long non-coding RNA. The record is from RefSeq and is a predicted model, not a curated record. NCBI's taxonomy places the organism in Eukaryota, Metazoa, Cnidaria, Anthozoa, Scleractinia, Merulinidae.